RNAcentral lists this ribosomal RNA (1397 nucleotides) under uncultured bacterium. Its description in RNAcentral is "bacterial SSU rRNA". It matches the Rfam family "Bacterial small subunit ribosomal RNA". The record is from RNAcentral.
AGAGUUUGAUCCUGGCUCAGAUUGAACGCUGGCGGCAGGCUUAACACAUGCAAGUCGAGCGGGGGAAGUUGCUUCGGUAACUAACCUAGCGGCGGACGGGUGAGUAAUGCUUAGGAAUCUGCCUAUUAGUGGGGGACAACAUUCCGAAAGGGAUGCUAAUACCGCAUACGCCCUACGGGGGAAAGGAGGGGAUCUUCGGACCUUUCGCUAAUAGAUGAGCCUAAGUCAGAUUAGCUAGUUGGUGGGGUAAAGGCCUACCAAGGCGACGAUCUGUAGCGGGUCUGAGAGGAUGAUCCGCCACACUGGGACUGAGACACGGCCCAGACUCCUACGGGAGGCAGCAGUGGGGAAUAUUGGACAAUGGGGGCAACCCUGAUCCAGCCAUGCCGCGUGUGUGAAGAAGGCCUUUUGGUUGUAAAGCACUUUAAGCGAGGAGGAGGCUCUUCUAGUUAAUACCUAGGAUGAGUGGACGUUACUCGCAGAAUAAGCACCGGCUAACUCUGUGCCAGCAGCCGCGGUAAUACAGAGGGUGCGAGCGUUAAUCGGAUUUACUGGGCGUAAAGCGUACGUAGGCGGCUUUUUAAGUCGGAUGUGAAAUCCCUGAGCUUAACUUAGGAAUUGCAUUCGAUACUGGGAAGCUAGAGUAUGGGAGAGGAUGGUAGAAUUCCAGGUGUAGCGGUGAAAUGCGUAGAGAUCUGGAGGAAUACCGAUGGCGAAGGCAGCCAUCUGGCCUAAUACUGACGCUGAGGUACGAAAGCAUGGGGAGCAAACAGGAUUAGAUACCCUGGUAGUCCAUGCCGUAAACGAUGUCUACUAGCCGUUGGGGCCUUUGAGGCUUUAGUGGCGCAGCUAACGCGAUAAGUAGACCGCCUGGGGAGUACGGUCGCAAGACUAAAACUCAAAUGAAUUGACGGGGGCCCGCACAAGCGGUGGAGCAUGUGGUUUAAUUCGAUGCAACGCGAAGAACCUUACCUGGUCUUGACAUAGUAAGAACUUUCCAGAGAUGGAUUGGUGCCUUCGGGAACUUACAUACAGGUGCUGCAUGGCUGUCGUCAGCUCGUGUCGUGAGAUGUUGGGUUAAGUCCCGCAACGAGCGCAACCCUUUUCCUUAUUUGCCAGCGGGUUAAGCCGGGAACUUUAAGGAUACUGCCAGUGACAAACUGGAGGAAGGCGGGGACGACGUCAAGUCAUCAUGGCCCUUACGACCAGGGCUACACACGUGCUACAAUGGUCGGUACAAAGGGUUGCUACUCCGCGAGGAGAUGCUAAUCUCAAAAAGCCGAUCGUAGUCCGGAUCGCAGUCUGCAACUCGACUGCGUGAAGUCGGAAUCGCUAGUAAUCGCGGAUCAGAAUGCCGCGGUGAAUACGUUCCCGGGCCUUGCACUCACCGCCCGUCA